RNAcentral lists this non-coding RNA (27 nucleotides) under Bombyx mori (domestic silkworm). Lineage: Eukaryota; Metazoa; Arthropoda; Insecta; Lepidoptera; Bombycidae. The record is from RNAcentral.
UCGGUAAUGUAAUAUGGCGACUUGCAC